GCCUCGGUGUGGACCUGGGCGACGCUCGCACCGGCCUCGCCGUCGGGUGGGGCAUCACCCUCCCUCGUCCCCUCACUGUACGCACCACCUCGCUCUCACUUCAACUGCUCAGAGUCAAAAGCCCCACUAAAUUGAGGGGGGCUGGAAUGGUGCCAGGUUCUGAAGCUGCGCGGGCAGAAGCUGGUGCUGACGCUGCUCGACGUGGCCCGGCAGCAGGAGGCGGACGAGCUCAUCAUCGGGCUUCCCGUGUCGGCCGAUGGGAGGGAGACGCCGCAGUCUAACAAGGUGCGGGGCGUCGUCGGGAGGCUCGCCGUCCAAGCGGCGGAGAGGUUCGUUGCUUGCGUGCACUUUCCAAACUUUAGUGGAUGGUGUUUCUACUCGCUAGUGCGCGUGUUGCAGCACCGUCAGUAGACAAAUUUCGCAGUGUUCUGACUUCUGAACUGCGAGUUCUUUGUUUGCUUAAAUGUGUGGUCUAGUGAUUGUUGAGUGGCUCAGUGGAUUUGCCUUCACUGCGCAGGGGAUUGAGGGUAUAUUUGCAGGAUGAACAUGGAACUUCGAUAGACGCCCUUGAUUACAUGAUCUCAAGGUGAGUCUUAUUCUUUUGCAAAUGGCAAAUUGGCGAUAAUUAGACAGUUUGACAUGCUAUGUUUUUAAAGCGGUAAGGCGAGGCGACGCGAUCCACCACCGCCUUAUCGCCUAGGCGACGCCUAGGUGGGCUAAGGCGAGACCUUAAGCAAGGCGAGCCGCCACCGCCUUGUCGCCUAGGCGACGCCUUGAAAACAGAGUUGACAUGUCGCUGUUGCUGCAACAUCUAGCUGAUAUUGAUAUGUUAAUUUGAGAAUCUUGAUAUUGCUGCAAGGCCCCUGAUUUUUCAAAACUGAUCAUUAAUACCUAGUAUUCCUUCUUCAUUCAACAAAUGACCAAUAUAGAAUCUUGAGAUUAGAGAAUACAACAUUUUCUACUGCACAUUCCUAACUCUCGGAUGAUAUUGAUGUGUUAAUUUGGGAAUCUUGUCUGAGUAUGGACCUCAUCUUCCAGGGGUGUCAAAAAAUCUGCCCGUGAUGUCAAAUCUGAUGCGUAUGCUGCAGUGGUACUGUGUAUUAUAUGUUUCUACGAAUUUACACAUGACCUGUUGCUUCUGGCUAAUUUUAAAAAAUGAUUACUCUCGCUGUAGAUGUUAUUGAAGAGAUAUUUUACGUCAUCAGGUCAAGGGGCUAUGAUUGUCCUUCCCAGGCAACCAGAAUUGCAGGAAAAGUUAAUAGCUCAGUCUAGGCGAGAUGCUGAAAUUUAGGAAGGCAGGUCUUGUAUUUUAUCCAACUGUAGAAAAUAUAUCCAAUAUAUUUACAAGAAACACUUGUUUCCAUGUCAUCUCGGUGACUUAUAUUUUGGUUUACCUUGCACAAUCAAAGGGAAUUGGCAGCAACUUCCAUUUCUAUACCAUGUCAAUGUGAUCCAAGUUGCAAAUUGUGUAUGAAGUAUGGACCCAAAACAAAAACACAAAUUGAGUAUGAUCAUUGCUGUUCCUUACUUUUUUCUUAUUUUGUCGACUACUCUAGAGCAUCUAGGAAACAGUAAGUUGAGAAAGGAUAUAGUGAAACUUAACUAGUCUUUUUCACAAAGGGAGUUACUGUUCUCGAGUAAGUACAGUCCGGAGGAUUUACAUAUAGGCAAGCGUACCAGUAUAUAGUUGAUUUAUGAUAGUAUAGAUGUAUGGACCACACCAACCUCUCUUUCUAGCCGUAACCGAUUAGGAAAAGAAAUAUCAUGGCAUGUCAAAGCCAUAAAUCUAUCGGUAAAGGGAGGCAUAUACCGUUGGGUACGGCACCAUGUGUUUCUGAUUUGGAAGGUAGGUACAACUGACCUAGUACAGCAGAAAUUGCUCUUCAUUACAGGUUAUUAACAUCUUAAGAUUCUGAUCAUUCCAUGCACACUUUUAACUAAAUUCAGAAAUCUAAACAGUUCUGUGCUUUAAUUAGCUAUAUUCAGGAAGUUCCUUUUGCUAUCUUUUUUUUUCUGGGUUUCCUACCUAGCCUUUUUCUUUCAAAAACAUUUGUUUAUGAUUUAUAGCUCAGUCAUGCAAAUUUGUGAUACAGUGGUAGCCUGCCACUUUAUGAGAUCGCGUAUUUAGACAGUUUCCAGCACAGAGACUACAAAAAAUAUGUUCAGUCAUAAUUCGGAUCAUCCAAGUUGGCAAGACACAAAGGCUAUGUUUGUACAUAACUAUCAACACAGCAGAAUGCCUGAGCGAAACCAUCAGAAUGAAUCAAGAAUUAGUCGAUCCGGAUCAGUUCUCCAUGUGUUGAUGAAGCAUCUCAAAUCUGCGCAUAAAAGAAUCAGUACAGCUUGCUGAAUUCAGUAUCCUGUGUCGG
RNA transcript from Panicum virgatum (switchgrass), 2369 nucleotides. It is a transcript of the gene named putative pre-16S rRNA nuclease, with no coding region annotated. The record is from RefSeq and is a predicted model, not a curated record. NCBI's taxonomy places the organism in Eukaryota, Viridiplantae, Streptophyta, Magnoliopsida, Poales, Poaceae. The transcript is spliced from 3 exons.